UACAGAGGGUGCGAGCGUUAAUCGGAAUUACUGGGCGUAAAGCGCGCGUAGGCGGCUUUGCAAGUCGAGUGUGAAAUCCCCAGGCUUAACCUGGGAACUGCUCUCGAGACUGCAUAGCUAGAGUAUGGGAGAGGGAAGUGGAAUUUCAGGUGUAGCGGUGAAAUGCGUAGAUAUCUGAAGGAACAUCAGUGGCGAAAGCGACUUCCUGGACCAAUACUGACGCUCAUGCACGAAAGCGUGGGGAGCAAACAGG
Molecule: ribosomal RNA, 253 nt
Filed under: uncultured bacterium
Lineage: Bacteria
Description: partial 16S ribosomal RNA
Rfam family: Bacterial small subunit ribosomal RNA
Source: RNAcentral